AUCCAGCUGACGAGUCACAAAUAGGACGAAACGCGCAUUCUGGAU
Molecule: non-coding RNA, 45 nt
Filed under: Schistosoma mattheei
Lineage: Eukaryota; Metazoa; Platyhelminthes; Trematoda; Strigeidida; Schistosomatidae
Source: RNAcentral